UUACAGCAUCUGUAAUGUGGUUACAUGUGAAUGUGACAAUCGCACGUCGGAAGAAACAUGUGCGGGUGGCCUAUGACAUGCGACAGACAGCUGUUAGUUUUAGUUUAGUUUAGUUUAGUCAAUUCGUUUAUUCUUAAAGUAAAUAUAUCUUAAAGUAAUAUGCCAUUUAUAAAGAUAAGCAGUGUAUAAACCAUUCAGUGGGCUGGACUAGUGUAGAGUUUCAGACUGUAGAGGAGGGGCGUACAGCGUUUCUAACAGAUCGACCCAGACAAUGACUUUGUUGUUGCAGGUCGACAAACUUUUCCAGGUGAUGCGUGCCAUCCUUGGACGGCUGUGACAGUAGCCUGCCGCAAAGCGCAUCAGCAGCACCCCAGCGUCGACUUUUAUGUGACCAUUUUUAGACAGAAAAACGAGGAUAUAUUCCGACCAUGUUUUUUUUACAAGUAUUUAUUGCCUGCCUGUGGCCGCAGUGUGUAUUGGCCCAGACCAAAACUCAGGGCGCGGUUGUGGAGGCUCGUAAUAUCACACUCCCGGCGGGCUCCAACGCCAUGCUGCCGUGCCACAACCAGCGCGUCAUGUGGCGGCAGGACGGCCUGCGUGAUCGCCAGCGUGUGGUGCACUGGGACCUCUAUCGCAGCCGCCCUCAUGAAGGGGUGGAGCGCGUUCUGGACCUCUUCCCCGGGGGCAGUGAGCGCCUCUAUACCAACUACAACAAGGGCCGCGUCACCAUCUCCCCUGAAGCUUUCACUGAUGGCAACUUCUCACUCAUCAUCCACAAUGUGGGGGUCAAUGACAGAGGUCUUUACACAUGCAAUCUGCAUCACCACUACUGCAACAUUCACCAGGCCCUUCAGCUGCAGCUCAAUGUCACUAAGUCAGCCCAUAAGGAGAAGCGUUUUUGGGACGGAGAUAAAUCCGUGUUUGUGGUCCUGGCGGGGACCACUGUGGUUCUGCCCUGCAUGAACCGCCGGCCGCUGUGGAUGGAGGGCAACCAGGAGGACCAGCAGCAGGUGGUCCACUGGGACUGGCAGCCUCCGGGCGUCCGUCCAGACAGUGCAGAGCGUCUGGUGGACCUCUACGCCUCGGGCGAGGAGCGGAAAUACGGCCCGCACUUCCUGCGUGAGAAGAUGAACAUCACAGCGGAUGCCUUCUCGCGGGGAGACUUCUCUCUCAGCAUCUCCGACCUGCAGCCGUCGGAGAAGGGCCUGUAUGUCUGCCACCUGCACCACCACUACUGCGGCCUGCAUGAGAGACGCAUCUUCCGCCUCAUCGUGGGGUCCCCCGUCCAGCAGCCCCUCCCCACAAGCCCCCAAGAACUACCAGAGGUGUCCGUCAACAACAAGCCCACCCAGAGCCGCCCUGUUGUUAAGUUGCCCCUGGACAAUGAGGAUGAUCCAAACACAAACCUGGUGGAGACGGCGCGAGUUUUCAAUGUCAUCGUGCCAGAGCCACGCAGUCACUUCCUCAACCAGCUGGGCUACGUCUUGGCCAUCUUCCUCCUGCUCACUCUCAUUGUUGUCGCAGUGAUCCUGCUCACACGGAGCCGCAGGAAGAGAGAGCUGGAGUAUGAUAUAAGUAGAUCUGAACGGGGGCAAAGGACAGCUAUUGAGAUGGAGCCCACUGGACAAAAGAACUGCAAUCAGGAUGACAUCAGGGGUGAGAGACAUUUAACUACAAGAACAACAUAAUGAAGGAGCAGGCAGAUAUGUCCUAUGCUUCUUCCUCAAGAGUCAUAGACCUCAAUAAAGAAAUGGAGAAGAUGUCAUGGAAGUGAGGUGCUGCCUGAUAGGCUGCUGGCUGGCCCAGAGCGAAUGGAAAUGGCGAUGAGACGACCAAUCAGAAUGCUGGGAGAUUCACGGAUCAAGCCAUAAAGGAGGUGUUGCCAUUGUGUCUGCUGUUCAAUAAGCUUCAUGCUACCAACUUUUCUUUUUUCCUGAUACCUUUGUACUAUGUUUAUCACUGCUAAAGCUAUAUAUUCAUUUAGGAUAUUGUAUGCUUUAGGUCGUAGUGUCAUACAUUGACAUUAGUGGUCAAGCUUGCAUUAAUAGCCACUCGACGAGAUGGAUAUCAAUACACUGUGUCCUUGUUAGUGUGCUCUUUUUUUGUACCGUUUCUGUUUUUCCUCAUUCAAAAAGAAAUAAAAGGGAAGCUGUUGAUGAUGGACAAUGAUCGGUGACUUAAAAGGGGACGUUCUGUCUUUCAAGCUGCAUUCAUGUUGCAUGAGCCUCUGGUGCUCUGCAUAAUUUUGCCCAGUCCUGAUCCUUGGGCGAUCUUUUAGACACAAAAGCGAAGGGGCUGUCAACCAAGAGAGGCAUUGUAUUUCUCAGGAAUUCACUUGCACACCAGAACGUGUUGGUGUGAGUGUGUGUGUGUGUGUGUGUGUGCGCGUGUGUGUGUGUGCGCGUGUGUGUGUUUGUGUCUUUCUCUCUUGCAUUGUUAGGGUGAACAAGCAGAGAGGGUGCUUCCAUUCCUAUUAUUACUGUAUGUUGUUUUUGAACUAUUACAAUGCAUCUGAUAUCGGGGUGCAUGACAAGUUCAGCUCUCAACUGGUUGCAUAACUCUUAGCAACUGAAAAUGGUCAGAUCAGAUAGGAAUAGUUCUAACCACCCUCACCACUGUUUGGGUCUGCUGUUUAAUUAGUUUGAGUUGGGAAUGUCCGUGUGUGAUGCCAAGUCUAGUACCAAUCCCCACCAGACUAAAUUCACUGCCUAUUUUGUCUUCUGAAGAAAGUAUUCUGAAGUGCUCAUAUAACUUCAUCAAAAGUCUUGUUUUGAGAUCUGCUUACAUUCCUCAAAAUAGGUUGCCAAAAAUGUCAAAUGUCAUCAAAUGUCACAGUACUGAAGCUGAUGACCAUAGCUUCACAACAGAUGAAAUGAUCUUUACAUAUUCAGUGAUAUUUUUUGAUCAUGGUCCAGUUUGAUUUAAGUUAUUUUGAACAUUUCCUAAAACUGGUCCUUAAAUUAAUUUGUUUCUGUCAGGGGGAAACAAUGCAUGUGGCAUUUGAUGGCAGCAGACUGCAAACCAUCAGUUAGGAGUGAAAUUAAAGCAAGUCCAUGCAGACAAGCCAGAUUUGUACAGACAUAUAAAGAACAUGACCCUAAUGUCAAAGAUAAGCCUGUGCACAUAUAAUGCUGUACAUAAGGAAGAAGAAGUAUACUUUCGGUGAGAUUACAAUCCUCUUUGCUUUUAGCUUUCAGGAUGAUUUAUCAUGCAAUAUUGUUAAUAAUCAUUUGAACUUAUGUGAUCUUUUUCCUUUUCUUCAUUUUCCCUUUUGUGAUUUUUUCAUCUAAUCAUAAAUACUGUAUGAUUACAUCACACUAUGUAUUUUGUAUCAGUUUACUACUUAUUACAGUGGGCGUCCUUAUAGAGAGCAAAAGACAGAGUUAAUGCCUUAUUGGUUUCAUAUUUAGGCCAGCAGAAUACUAUGGUGAUUGCCUAGAAUUCCUCUUAUUCUUUUAUAAUUGAUAUAAACGUUUCAGGUACUUCCUUAUUUGCUGUCUCUGUAUUUUAGUGUAUUUUGCCAACAUUUAUGUCUCAUGUUUGUUGUCAGUGUUGGGAGGAAGAGAAAUGUCAAAUAUUCAGCUAACACCUUUUAUAUGCCAUUUAAAAAUAAAAACAAAUCUUGUAA
Molecule: RNA transcript, 3628 nt
Organism: Clupea harengus (Atlantic herring)
Lineage: Eukaryota; Metazoa; Chordata; Actinopteri; Clupeiformes; Clupeidae
Gene: mxra8b
Gene name: matrix-remodelling associated 8b
Source: RefSeq, a predicted model, not a curated record